GCCAAGGCUUGUAGUGUAAACACGACUAAGAUUCUGAGACAACCGAGUCGACCACCGAAGGUGCGAGCCUCUACAGGGAUCUGGGGGCAUGCCCGCCCAGAAAAUUUUGAAUUUCUUGAAGCUCAGAUAAGCUAUUUCCGGCAUUUCGAGGAGUUUUCCAACAAGAAGUUAAACAGUGACAAAAUUACUGCAAUUUCACGGUCUCCAAAAUGUAAUCCAGUCCCAAUAAGGCAACAUGGUGUGACGAUGCGGUAAUGAAAAUGUGCGUGGUAUAGUAUUAUCAUUCACCACAUUUCAAAUUCUACAGUACUGUAUUACAUGCAUGUAUUGGGGUACUUGAAAUCGAUGCAUUCAUCUUCUCAAUGUCACUGAAGAGCGAGAUAGGGUGGUUUCUUUGGAGUAUCUUUGCUUGGAAAAACUAAACUAGAAUUUCGUCCUAAAAUGCCAUUUCAUGCUUUGUUCCACGAGCAAAUUAUUCCAGCCAUG
Molecule: non-coding RNA, 486 nt
Organism: Paramuricea clavata
Lineage: Eukaryota; Metazoa; Cnidaria; Anthozoa; Malacalcyonacea; Plexauridae
Source: the annotation of a GenBank genome assembly